UGGGGAAUCUUGGGCAAUGGGGGCAACCCUGACCCAGCGACGCCGUGUGGGGGACGAAGGCCUUCGGGUUGUAAACCCCUGUUAGGUGGGACGAAUGCCCCUUUAGGAAUACUAGAGGGGUUUGACGGUACCACCAGAGAAAGCCCCGGCUAACUCCGUGCCAGCAGCCGCGGUAAUACGGAGGGGGCGAGUGUUGUUCGGAAUUAUUGGGCGUAAAGGGCGCGCAGGCGGCUUGGCAAGUCGAGUGUGAAAUCCCUUAGCUUAACUGAGGAACUGCGCUCGAAACUACCUCGCUAGAGGGCGGGAGAGGGAAGUGGAACUCUCGGUGUAGGGGUGAAAUCUGUAGAUAUCGAGAGGAACACCGGUGGCGAAGGCGGCUUCCUGGCCCGCAUCUGACGCUGAGGCGCGAAAGCGUGGGGAGCAAACAG
RNAcentral lists this ribosomal RNA (428 nucleotides) under uncultured bacterium. RNAcentral's name for it is "bacterial SSU rRNA". It matches the Rfam family "Bacterial small subunit ribosomal RNA", at positions 355 to 775 of the family's 1533-position model. The record is from RNAcentral.